AGCUGUAGGGGGAACUCAGGGCCCAGGGUGGGGGGCCCAGGCUGUGUGACCAGCUGCUGCCCCACAGGAAUGAUGAUCCAUCACCACUUCCACCCUUCCCUGCCCCUGGAAUGAGCGAGCCCAGCUGCCCACAGGCCCCAGGGCCUCUCCACUCAGGGGCACCAGGUGAUGGAGGUGAGAUGUUCCCUGGUACCUGUGGCCUCAACUGACACUCCCAGCAGCCACACCCUUCCUCAGGUGGAGCUUUGAACUGGCCCUCUGGUUCCCUCCCUUGUCAAUAAUAAAAAGCGAGGAGGACUGAGCUGAGGGCCCUCCAGUGUCUGAAGAUGGCUGUCCACAACCACCAGUAAAAC
This is a long non-coding RNA of Manacus vitellinus (golden-collared manakin), 353 nucleotides long. RefSeq lists it as uncharacterized. Lineage: Eukaryota; Metazoa; Chordata; Aves; Passeriformes; Pipridae. The transcript is spliced from 3 exons. The record is from RefSeq and is a predicted model, not a curated record.